Molecule: unclassified non-coding RNA, 20 nt
Filed under: Chlamydomonas reinhardtii
Lineage: Eukaryota; Viridiplantae; Chlorophyta; Chlorophyceae; Chlamydomonadales; Chlamydomonadaceae
Description: small RNA Cre_0505
Source: RNAcentral
AGCUGCUGGCGGGGCCGACC